GCAUGGAAUAGCACAGUUAGCAGAGCACAAGACUUUUAAUCUCAGAGUCGUGGGUUCAAUCCCCAUGUUGGGCA
Molecule: non-coding RNA, 74 nt
Organism: Podarcis lilfordi (Lilford's wall lizard)
Lineage: Eukaryota; Metazoa; Chordata; Lepidosauria; Squamata; Lacertidae
Source: the annotation of a GenBank genome assembly